RNAcentral lists this transfer RNA (62 nucleotides) under Lanthanaphalara mira. RNAcentral's name for it is "tRNA-Glu". The record is from RNAcentral. Lineage: Eukaryota; Metazoa; Arthropoda; Insecta; Hemiptera; Aphalaridae.
CUAUUGUAGUUUACCUUAAAACGUUACAUUUUCAAUGUAAAAUUGACUAUGUCCAAAAGUAA